This 1948-nucleotide ribosomal RNA is filed under the name Acinetobacter baumannii 25253_7. Its description in RNAcentral is "bacterial LSU rRNA". It matches the Rfam family "Bacterial large subunit ribosomal RNA", at positions 997 to 2925 of the family's 2925-position model. Lineage: Bacteria; Pseudomonadati; Pseudomonadota; Gammaproteobacteria; Moraxellales; Moraxellaceae. The record is from RNAcentral.
GCUAACGUCCGUAGUCAAGAGGAAAACAAUCCAGACCGCCAGCUAAGGCCCCAAAAUCAUAGUUAAGUGGGAAACGAUGUGGGAAGGCAUAGACAGCUAGGAGGUUGGCUUAGAAGCAGCCACCCUUUAAAGAAAGCGUAAUAGCUCACUAGUCGAGUCGGCCUGCGCGGAAGAUGUAACGGGGCUAAAACUAUGUGCCGAAGCUGCGGAUGUAUACUUUGUAUACGUGGUAGGGGAGCGUUCUGUAAGCCGAUGAAGGUGUGUUGAGAAGCAUGCUGGAGGUAUCAGAAGUGCGAAUGCUGACGUGAGUAACGACAAAACGGGUGAAAAACCCGUUCGCCGAAAGACCAAGGGUUCCAGUCCAACGUUAAUCGGGGCUGGGUGAGUCGACCCCUAAGGCGAGGCCGAAAGGCGUAGUCGAUGGGAAAAUGGUUAAUAUUCCAUUACUUCUGUGUAAUGCGAUGAGAGGACGGAGAAGGCUAAAUCAGCCUGGCGUUGGUUGUCCAGGUGAAAGGAUGUAGGCAUGUAUCUUAGGCAAAUCCGGGGUACUCUAUGCUGAGAUCUGAUAGCAAGCUGUACUUGUACAGCGAAGUGGUUGAUGCCAUGCUUCCAGGAAAAGUCUCUAAGCUUCAGUUACACAGGAAUCGUACCCGAAACCGACACAGGUGGUCAGGUCGAGUAGACCAAGGCGCUUGAGAGAACUCUGCUGAAGGAACUAGGCAAAAUGGUACCGUAACUUCGGGAGAAGGUACGCUGUUGUUGGUGAUGGAACUCGCUUCCUGAGCUGACGACAGCCGCAGAAACCAGGCCGCUGCAACUGUUUAUUAAAAACAUAGCACUCUGCAAACACGAAAGUGGACGUAUAGGGUGUGAUGCCUGCCCGGUGCUGGAAGGUUAAUUGAUGGGGUUAGCGUAAGCGAAGCUCUUGAUCGAAGCCCCAGUAAACGGCGGCCGUAACUAUAACGGUCCUAAGGUAGCGAAAUUCCUUGUCGGGUAAGUUCCGACCUGCACGAAUGGCAUAAUGAUGGCGGCGCUGUCUCCAGCAGAGGCUCAGUGAAAUCGAAAUCGCUGUGAAGAUGCAGUGUACCCGCGGCUAGACGGAAAGACCCCGUGAACCUUUACUGCAGCUUGACACUGAACUUUGACCUUACUUGUGUAGGAUAGGUGGGAGGCUUUGAAGCUGGAACGCUAGUUCCAGUGGAGCCGUCCUUGAAAUACCACCCUGGUAAUGUUGAGGUUCUAACUCUGUCCCGUGAUCCGGGACGAGGACCGUGUCUGGUGGGUAGUUUGACUGGGGCGGUCUCCUCCUAAAGAGUAACGGAGGAGUACGAAGGUGCGCUCAGCGUGGUCGGAAAUCACGCGUAGAGUAUAAAGGCAAAAGCGCGCUUAACUGCGAGACCCACAAGUCGAGCAGGUACGAAAGUAGGUCUUAGUGAUCCGGUGGUUCUGUAUGGAAGGGCCAUCGCUCAACGGAUAAAAGGUACUCUGGGGAUAACAGGCUGAUACCGCCCAAGAGUUCAUAUCGACGGCGGUGUUUGGCACCUCGAUGUCGGCUCAUCUCAUCCUGGGGCUGAAGCAGGUCCCAAGGGUAUGGCUGUUCGCCAUUUAAAGAGGUACGCGAGCUGGGUUUAGAACGUCGUGAGACAGUUCGGUCCCUAUCUACCGUGGGCGCUGGAAAUUUGAGAGGAUCUGCUCCUAGUACGAGAGGACCAGAGUGGACGAACCUCUGGUGUACCGGUUGUGACGCCAGUCGCAUCGCCGGGUAGCUAUGUUCGGAAGGGAUAACCGCUGAAAGCAUCUAAGCGGGAAGCCUACCUCAAGAUAAGAUUUCCCUAGGACUUUAUGUCCUCUAAAGAGCCGUUCGAGACUAGGACGUUGAUAGGUUGGAUGUGGAAGCAUAGUGAUAUGUGAAGCUGACCAAUACUAAUUGCUCGUGUGGCUUGACUAU